GACGUAGGUGGCGAACGUUAUCCGGAAUCAUUGGGCGUAAAGGGUGCGUAGAUGGCAUGAUAAGUUAUUAGUGGUAAAUCGAGGCUCAACCUCGUGGAAGCUAGUAAUACUGUUUUGCUUGAGUACAGAAGAGGUUAACGGAACUCCAUGUGGAGCGGUAAAAUGCGUAGAUAUAUGGAAGAACACCAAUAACGGCGAAGGCAGUUAACUAUUCUGUUACUGACAUUGAGGCACGAAAGCGUGGGGAGCAAAACGG
This 256-nucleotide ribosomal RNA is filed under the name uncultured bacterium. RNAcentral's name for it is "partial 16S ribosomal RNA". It matches the Rfam family "Bacterial small subunit ribosomal RNA", at positions 524 to 776 of the family's 1533-position model. The record is from RNAcentral.